AAACAAUGUUAGUAAAAACUUGGAUGCAAGAUUGACCUUAUGCAAUCUCUAAGGUACAUUGAAUUGAAUGAGGGAGAGAGUUCUAAACUGCUUGUUCUCAGUCUACUCCACCUCCUGAAUAUAUCUGUCCAUCUAAGAAAAGGAUUAAAUUCAAGAUAACCCUUGUCAUCUGCAUGCUGCCACAUGGUUAGGAUGAAGACUGACACACGAGACAAGUGAUGUGUCUUAUGUGAAAUUGAAAAUAUUUUUAAAAAGACAAUUGCAAUGUUAGUGUAUUGUGGAUGAUACUCUACAAGAAAAGCCUGAGCAAUGUUGGAGUGUCACAGCCACAGAGGGGCACAUCAACCUGAUACAAGAGAAAUGGAGCGAGGAGAGGUUAAAUCACAGAAUUUGGAAAGAAAAAGGGCAUCCAACAGCCUUAAAGAUGAAGAAAUGGAAGCUCCAGAGUUGAAGAAAUGUGUCUUCACUCCCACAAGUAAUCUUGAAGUUCCGAGCCACCAUGAGAGUUUUCCUGACACUGAGGUAAUUUCCUACCAUGUUGACACCACCUUGCGCCAGUGUUCAAGACCAUCACAGCUAUGAACCUUGUUGGCUUGUAUCAGAUGCCUGCUGGGACCUUGGCUGCCCAUAGUGCUCUCUAAAGACUCCAGCUUUCCAUAACUCCUACAGUUUUAAGUUCAAGGAAUGAUGAAGAGGACGCCAAUGUACGGAUUUGAUUUACCAAAUCAGGCCUGUACAGCAGCUGAAUCAACCUAUGGGAAAAUUUUGGCUCUCUUUAACAUUCUAAUUUUUGAGAACACCAUUGCAAAUACAUGAUUUCCAAAAUAAUAACAAUGCACUUAAUUAAUCACAUUAUAGAUCAUCAUAUAAAAAUAAAUACCUAAAUAGAAAUACAAUUUAUUUUUUUCUUAAAUUCCAAAUUGCAUAGAGCUGCCUCCUCUGCAGUUUUCCAUCACUGCCUCCUUCUCAGACUUCUCCUUUUGUUUUUUCAUUUCUUUGUACAGACUCCAGUCAUUUGUUUAAAUAUUCAUACUCAACCAGAAUACGUUUCCUAAUGUGGGAAUCAUUGCUUAUUCACAGGCACAGCCCUUGACAUCCUGAAAACAUGUAGUAAUGAUUUUUGGAAUAAAGGUUUGACACUUCUACAUUUACAUGUAAAUGGAGUUAAAAAAUUCUAGGUUGAGAAUAAGAAUACUAUAAAAAUUUUGAUCUAAAAUGGAUGUUAGAGAUAACCCAGCGCAACCAGUUGCUCUUACAAUUGAGGAAACUGAGGUCAAGAAUGAGUGAGUGGCUCAGAGUCACCCAGCUCAUUAGAGCCUGAAUGAACCACCUUGGUUCACUACCUCUGUUCACCGCCCUUUCUAGUGCACUUCAUGAAAUCACUCUCUAAGUACACAUCAACUCAUUUAGAUACUUAAAUGAUUCUUGAGAAAGUAGAAAGUAUAAAUGCCUUGACCACACAUAAGAACUUUGACAUAUUUCACUCUCUGUACUGAAAUUUCUAACAAUGCCUGGUACAUAAUAGGUAUUCAGUUGAUUUGGGUUUCUACAUCCCUUUUCUCCUUCUCUUCUUCAAGUUUGCAUGUAAACCACAUUAAAGACUGCUAAUAUAUAAAGUAGGCACCAUCUCAUGAAUCAAAGAGGGGAUUCCUAGAGCCACUGAGGAUGUCUUUAGAAGCCAGUGGUGCUGAUCCCACAGCUACUCUCCUGUGGACAGUGGAAGUGCUCCCCAAAGUACAUUCUUAGGGGAAAUGGGGCUGCCGCCAUGAGGAGGUGUCAAUAGAGAUUAGAGAUGGUCUUUGUGCUGUGAGAGAGACCUCACAUUUCCAAAUGCCAAGUCCUUUCUUCCUCAGUCAAAUGUACCCCCUAGAACAUAGAUACCUACUAAGCUGUAGAUUUUUGAGGGGAUACAGAGCUGAAUCCAUAAGAUAGUGGAUUAUUCAGAUAAGAAUUUCUGUAGAUAGAGAGUUUCCAAUCAAUUAUGUACCCCAACAAUGUGAGGUCAACUACUUAGACUACCUCUUAGCUUCUACAUUUAGAUGUUUCAAAGUCUGUUCUGAUCCUUAAAUUUGACACUUCUCUUUAAUAUAAACAAAGCCCUUUUAGUAUUCUUUGGGAUUAGCUUACCACUUAAUAAAUUCCUUCCAACACUAUCUUCUGUGAGUCAACAAACAGCUUCCUCCUG
RNAcentral lists this long non-coding RNA (2185 nucleotides) under Homo sapiens (human). RNAcentral's name for it is "HSALNT0113684". The record is from RNAcentral. Lineage: Eukaryota; Metazoa; Chordata; Mammalia; Primates; Hominidae.